RNAcentral lists this ribosomal RNA (272 nucleotides) under uncultured bacterium. RNAcentral's name for it is "partial 16S ribosomal RNA". It matches the Rfam family "Bacterial small subunit ribosomal RNA", at positions 29 to 314 of the family's 1533-position model. The record is from RNAcentral.
AACGAACGCUGGCGGCAGGCCUAACACAUGCAAGUCGAACGCCGUAGCAAUACGGAGUGGCAGACGGGUGAGUAACGCGUGGGAACAUACCCUCCGGUUCGGAAUAACUCAGGGAAACUUGAGCUAAUACCGGAUACGUCCAAGGUUUAAUUCGGCCUUGGAGAAAGAUUUAUCGCCGGAGGAUUGGCCCGCGUCUGAUUAGCUUGUUGGUGAGGUAAUGGCUCACCAAGGCGACGAUCAGUAGCUGGUCUGAGAGGAUGAUCAGCCACAUU